RNAcentral lists this ribosomal RNA (432 nucleotides) under uncultured bacterium. Its description in RNAcentral is "bacterial SSU rRNA". It matches the Rfam family "Bacterial small subunit ribosomal RNA", at positions 47 to 529 of the family's 1533-position model. The record is from RNAcentral.
CGGCUACCAUGCAGUCGAGCGCCCCGCAGGGGGAGCGGCAGACGGGUGAGUAACGCGUGGGAAUCUACCCAUCACUACGGAACAACUCCGGGAAACUGGAGCUAAUACCGUAUACGUCCUUCGGGAGAAAGAUUUAUCGGUGAUGGAUGAGCCCGCGUUGGAUUAGCUAGUUGGUGGGGUAAUGGCCUACCAAGGCGACGAUCCAUAGCUGGUCUGAGAGGAUGAUCAGCCACACUGGGACUGAGACACGGCCCAGACUCCUACGGGAGGCAGCAGUGGGGAAUAUUGGACAAUGGGCGCAAGCCUGAUCCAGCCAUGCCGCGUGAGUGAUGAAGGCCCUAGGGUUGUAAAGCUCUUUCAACGGUGAAGAUAAUGACGGUAACCGUAAAAAAAGCCCCGGCUAAUUUCGUGCCAGCACCCCGGGAAAAUAAG